AAUAGAUACCCGGGUAGUCCACGCCCUAAACUAUGUCGACUGGUUGUUGGGGGAGUCUGUCCCUCAGUAACGUAGCUAACGCGUGAAGUCGACCGCCUGGGGAGUACGGUCGCAAGAUUAAAACUCAAAGGAAUUGACGGGGACCCGCACAAGCGGUGGAUUAUGUGGAUUAAUUCGAUGCAACGCGAAGAACCUUACCUACCCUUGACAUGCCAGGAACCCCGCAGAGAUGUGGGGGUGCCCGAAAGGGAACCUGGACACAGGUGCUGCAUGGCUGUCGUCAGCUCGUGUCGUGAGAUGUUGGGUUAAGUCCCGCAACGAGCGCAACCCUUGCCAUUAGUUGCUACAUUCAGUUGGGCACUCUAAUGGGACUGCCGGUGACAAACCGGAGGAAGGUGGGGAUGACGUCAAGUCCUCAUGGCCCUUAUGGGUAGGGCUUCACACGUAAUACAAUGGCGCAUACAGAGGGCUGCAAACCCGCGAGGGGGAGCCAAUCCCAAAAAGUGCGUCGUAGUCCGGAUUGUUCUCUGCAACUCGAGAGC
Molecule: ribosomal RNA, 542 nt
Filed under: uncultured bacterium
Lineage: Bacteria
Description: bacterial SSU rRNA
Rfam family: Bacterial small subunit ribosomal RNA
Source: RNAcentral